Long non-coding RNA from Chinchilla lanigera (long-tailed chinchilla), 2140 nucleotides. Ensembl lists it as uncharacterized. NCBI's taxonomy places the organism in Eukaryota, Metazoa, Chordata, Mammalia, Rodentia, Chinchillidae. The record is from Ensembl.
GCGGGGGGAGGGGGUGAGAAUCGCCACCUCCGGCCUUGGCUUUCCCGCUCUUCCGAGCGCUCCCAUUUCUCACUUUCCCCAAAUCCGCAUUUUCCUUGGCACAGCUCUCCCGAGCACGAAGGAGAGAGAGGGAGGUGCCCGGGGGCAGCGAGAAUGACGUGCGCUGGUGCAGAGGGGGUGGGGGCUGCGGGCCGGGCUCCGUGCACGGGCUCCUAAUCCUCUUGUUUCGGAACCGUCAGCAGAUGUGGCUCCUCUCAGCCGAAUAAUCCGUUAAAGGAAUAAUAAUUUUUUUAAAAAAAGGAGAUCGACCUCACUCAACGAGGACUAGGAUCGAGAUCGGGGCUUGUAGAUUCACCGCCUUUGGUGGGGCUGGCUGAGAUGCUACGAACGGCAAACAGUCUCUUAAAAAGGAGGAAAAAAGAUGAAGACCUUGGGUGGACGCCGGAACAAAGCACCACGAGCUCUCGGGCGAGAAGGAACGCACUGGAGCGAUAGCUCCGGACGCGGACACGAGCGAUCUCCGUUGCCCAGCUACACCGGCCGUGCGCGCGGACCUCUCAGGCGAGAGGACUGUAUCGGCGAGGAGGCCGAUUCCCCAGAUCCGGUCCCCGGACCCAGGCAGCUCGCCCCUGCGGCGCGCCCGGCCGGGCUGCGCCUGGACUCAGCGAUCCAGGGAAAGGCCUGGAUGCGGGAGAACAAAGAGCCUUUGGAAGACAUCGCCGUUAUCUCAUUGUCUGCGCGGUUGGGGGAGCUGCGGGACCCCAGCCACAGCGACCUAAAACUGCUGACUCCAGAGGACACCCCAAAUUCAAAGAGUGUGCUCAGAGGAUAUUGGUCCACAUUGGGAAGACAGAAACUUGGAAAAGCAUUUGGAAGGGCUCAGCCUCCUCACCCAGGCCCUGGAUCCAAGAUCCUGAUGUAGGAGAUGAUGCAACUGGGUACGGGCGCCUCAAAAAGAAAGUGCUCUCUUGCCUGUCUUUUUCUGUGCGCCCUGGUGCACGGAAGGAAGCAGGCACUUCUCAUGGCUGGUGCUCUGGAAGCUGGAAAAUAAAAGUAGAAAUCACAGCGACAGCAGAAGAUCCUCCUUUGUCUGCCUGCCCCCCUCCCCCAUUUGGAAGUAAGGCUUUCUGUGCCAUCGGGCACCCUCGUCUGCCUCCCGAGCGGCCCUGUGGCUAACAACUGCGGUGUCCGCCUCACAACCGGAUGAGGAGGAGAGAAAAUGUCAGAGCAGCUGGCUUCGCUCCCCUUCCUCCCCGGGCCACCUGGAGGCUUACCCACCAGCCUGGGAAUCCUGUGGUCAGAUUUGUGGUAGGGGGAAGUGGGCGGUGAGUGUUGUGGGGGGGUGUCUGGGACAUUGUUAAGAAGGUGUCUUACACAUAAGGCUCAAUGAAUGCCACCCAAAUUGGACGUAAUUAAAUUAGCAGCAGCUGUCCUGCUUUUCCUGCAGAAAAGCUACAAUUAUGUAUGAAGCCUCUUGGGCAAAGGCUAGAUAAGAGUGCCCCUCAAGCCAGCAAGAAGCUGAAAAAUGUUCCUAGUCCCUCUCCCCGUCUCAGCCCCUGCUGAACUCGCCCAGAUAUGUAGAGUUUUAUUUUCAAACCGUUCCCACGUGGUAAAGAGACUGCAAGCUGUGCUGCUUCCAGGUGGAAUUUCCAAAGGGAUAAACUCGGCUCUAGAAUCCUUCUGCUUCCCUGUAGAGAGCAAAGUCCCUUCUCAAAUCUUGCUCAUCACCAUCCCUGAUUCACACCUCACGCAAGGCUUUCCCUCCUGGGGUGUGCGCUCCACGAUAAAUGUUAUCAAUAAUGAGCGUCCGCCUCCUUGUACUCACCCCUUGAAAAAGUCUGUGCUGUCAGUAUUCUCUAAGAGGUGUCAGGACAAAGGAAGACUGAGGCUCCUUUAUUUCCAACGAGGGUGUGAACUGCCAGAAGUUACUUUCCCAGAGAUAUUUGUUGUUAUUGUUUAUUAUUUUACAGUUUAGAAGAGGCACUUAUUCACGGUGCAAUUUAAGGGCAGAGAGAGCACCGUCAACUGCUCAUUGUGGCCCCUUCAUUCCGGAUGCCCCCCCAUACUCAGCCCUGCAAAUGCCUCCCUCAGGUGGAACUGAUAAGAAAAUACACUGGAAGAACUCGAAACGGAUCCUGGU